Odocoileus virginianus texanus is the source of this 1992-nucleotide non-coding RNA. The record is from RefSeq and is a predicted model, not a curated record. NCBI's taxonomy places the organism in Eukaryota, Metazoa, Chordata, Mammalia, Artiodactyla, Cervidae.
UCUAGAGAUUGAACCCAGGUCUCCCACAUUGCAGGCGGAUUCUUUACCAGCUGAGCCACAAGAGAAGCCCUGUUGUAUGAGAAGGGGCUGUAAAGUGAUAGGGCUGGGGGCAGCCCGGGCUUGGCGUAGAUCAGUGGGCGGGGGCAGGGGGAGGGUGGGGGCUCAGGUUGUUGGGCAGUGUUCUGAAUUAGACAGGCCAAGAUGCCAGUUCACAGAGCAACAGCUAGUGCACAGGCCUCUUCCCUGGGAGACAGGCCCUCGAAAAGUCCUCCCAGCAUCAGAAGAUGUUCCAUGCAAAAGUCCAGCUGUCCUCAGCACCGUUUGCAGAUGAUAUUGUCGGGUUUUACCAAGUUGGUUGGGUAGCAGUCACGUGGGUACAGCAGAAGGGGUAGGUGGCCCAGCUGUGGCACCGAGCUUGGCCUUCUCUAGAAAAGGCAAAGCUCCCUCCGUUUGCUUCUGCCGAACACCAGGGCCUAUAAACAGGCAAAACUUACAGAUCGAAUAUGUUGGUCCCUGGAGACUAGGCUUCCAGCUGAUGGGGUGGUAGUACCAAUUGAGGGCCAGCUGGGUUCUCCAAGUGUUCUCUGCCCUUGCUCUAGGGGAGCGGGCUUUGGGAGUUGGGGAUUGGGACUUAGGUCAUACUUCCUCAGAGUGUGCUGGGUCCUGCCCAGGAACGGCCCUGGGAUGCUUUUGCCCUAGUUUACCUCGCAUAUCCUUGUUCCCCAGGAACAAGAGAGCGUGCCCAUGCAGGUAUCCUGUAAAUGUACAUUGGUGGGGGGUCACUAAGAUCUUACACUCAACCUCAGACAACCGAAGUGGCCGGGAGGGGAAGUACACGGCAAGGCGAGUGGGCCAGGGCUCGCUGGCGUGGAUUCUGUAGAGAAGGAAUACCCUUCAGAGGCGGGUCUGCCACACAGUGCGUGACCUUUCUCUAGCCCAGCAUGGUCUCCCCUGGCACUGACCACUGCCCUGGGGUAGCUGUUCUUCCUGUUGCUCCACCCUCAGGUCCUGUUCUUGCAAUAAUUGCUUCCUGUGGGCCCCCAGAUUCAAGUCAGAGCUGAGCUAGUCCUAAGAACCCCUCCCUCUGACAGCCGCCUCCUCCCAGGUGUUUGGAGAAGCCACCGAGGUGAAGAGCCAGCCUGGGUGAGCCUGGCGAGUCACUUUGAGGAGAGGCAGUGCCAUUCCCAGCCACCCGUACUCCAGGCCAGUUGUCACAGCCCUGCCUGUCUACUCUGGGAUGCCAUCUCUUGGCUUCAGUUAUUUCCCAAGAAUUUCCAAAGAGGUCCCUGACAUGACAGAUUUCCUGAAGGCUGUGGACACAUGUGCUGUUUACUGGGGGGACGCCGGCAGAUCCCACCCCAAAACGGAGGAGGAUGGCUUAGGCCUCCACCCGCUGGCUCUGCCCUGAGACUGCCUCAGCUGAGCACCUCACAGGACUUGGGACUUGCUUGAGAAAACAGGCUCAUGAAGGCAGAGAUGCCCUUCCCACCUCAGGAAGGCAAGCAGGGUCAGCCUCUGAAAAUCAGUUAGUGCACAUUCUCACCACAGAAGGAACAAAACCACAUGAUCAUCUCAAUAGGCACAGUGUUCAACAAAAGUCAACAUCCAUUCAUGAAGAAAACAUUCAAAAACCUAAGAAGAGAGCUUCCCCGACCUGAUAAACGGCAUCUAUGAAAAAACCCAUAGUCAAUAUUUUACCAGAUGGUGGAAUGUUUUCCCUGUUAAGAUCAGGAAUAAGAAAAAACUGCUCUUACCAUUACUUGACAUUGUACUGGAGGGUCUAGUCAGGGCAGUUAGGCAAGAAAAUGAAAAGUUAUCUGGGUUAGAAGGCAGAAGUAAAACUGCAGAUGACAUGAUAGUGUAUAUAGGAAAUCCUAAGGAAGCCACUAAAAAUGCUGUUAUAACUAAUAAAUGAAUUCAACAAGGUUGUGGUAUAUAAAUUUGAUUGUAUUUCUAUAUGCUUGUAAUCAGAAUGAAAUGAAAUCAAUGAAA